RNAcentral lists this long non-coding RNA (1600 nucleotides) under Mus musculus (house mouse). Its description in RNAcentral is "predicted gene, 36693". The record is from RNAcentral. Lineage: Eukaryota; Metazoa; Chordata; Mammalia; Rodentia; Muridae.
GUUUGUCUGGAGCACUGGGACACAGGAAAAGUGAGCGCUGCUCCUCGGAGGCCCCUGGGCAGUUCAGGGGACCCCCGGUGCCUGCUGAAGGCAGCAGGUUAAAUGCCCUCUGGAGUGCGGAGCGCCGGGCCCUGGGGAUAGCCAUCAGCAGUAAGUGAGAGAGGCGGCAAAAGCCACCAGCAAGCAAGCAGCUGAUCUGAAAGGAGGCCUGAGGCGAGUGUCUAAGCGUGACAGACAGCUGAGGUUUGUUGUGCUUUGAUUACGAACAAGCCAUUCGCUCAAACAAGGAGCCAGGCUGUGGAAGGUGUCCUGAGUCUCCCAGCCACAGGGACCUGGCUCCAUUCUGCAGGAGAAACUCUCAAAACAGGAAAAGAAAUCACCACAGAGCUAGAGACCGUCUUCCCCGUUUGCAUCAGUUAGCAUUGAGGAGAGAUCUCUCAGCCACGAAGGUCUCUACAACGUUCACAUUGAAAACAACGCAGUUGAGCAGCCCAUGGACCACACCGUAGACCUGCCUGCAGGGAUCCUGAACAAGACCCAGAAAGGAAAAAGAGGCUUCGCAAAGCUGAGCGCCCAGGACACAUGGAACAGCAUGUUUCCUUGCAACAGUUCAUCUCUCUGAGAGAGGGCUCUGCACUGUAGGGCGAUGAGGCCAAGGCCUGGUGUAGACCCUGCUUUUUCUCACCCAGGUGCCAGGCCAGCCAAGGCAAAGAGCCAAUCCCUCUAUAUCCCAGCCACAAGACGGCCAGGCCCCUCCGAUCAUGGCUUAAAUCAUUCUCGUUCACAGUCUGGGCAGAGAAAACUGGCCAGUAGGAAGCAAAGCUAUCGGCCUCACUAGCCUGGCCUGGCUUUGGAUGGCUCUCAUGGGCUACACAAACCUAGGCUUAACGUAUCCUGCUUACUGACUGAGCAGGUCCUCUCCCCAGGGGCCACUCAGCACGAGUUAGGAUCCAAUUGGCAUUAAUUGGACCAAGCUGGCAGUGCCUGGGGCAGCUUUAGUUCUGUCAUCACGCAUUUGACUCAGAGCAACGGCCAUCAGUGCCUAUAGAGCACACCCUUAGUGUCAUUGUGGAAGGCUCAAGUGAGUGUACAUGGUGCUGUGUGAGACGGCCUGACAGCCUUGCCAUAGCUAACACCCAGAGACCUAGAGCUGAAAGUGACUUUGCUAUAGUCUUAGACCCAAGCAAAGAGUGGAGACGCCAGGAACAUCAUCUCAGGAGAGUCUACUGGUCCCUUCAUCUGCUGCUGGCCCCAGGAAGUCUCCUCUGGAAAAGAAAUCUCCUCCCCCCAAAGCCUGCUAACCAAGUCCCAAGCACAGAAAGGGGGGCUCAACCCAAUGGUAAAAACCUGAGCUCAAACGGGAUAGCUGUCCAUAGAACUCAAAGUUCAAGUGCAAUCAUGACCAGACACUUACAAUGGGGAGCUGGUCUACAUCCCACGCUGGGUGGAGGGUGUAGACCCCCACACUUGCAACCCCAGCACCAACCUAGAAUCUUGCCUGCAAAGAUGGCGCCUUCACCCCAAAAUAGAAGCCUAAGGGGACUGUGAAUUGAGACUUCAGAACCUAAGCUGGAAUAAAUCUUUGCUCCUAAUUUAGGCU